AAACUGUUUUUGUCCCCUUUUCAUUCUAUGACUUCUUGCUUUUUUUCAUUCAUAAGAAAAAUUCAAUAAUCUUGAAGUUAGCAUGCUAGAUCUAGACCCAGAAAGAAUAGGCUCAUUGUAUGCUUAACAAGUUGCUCAUGUUCCCUGUAGGGUGUGCAUUUUGAAUUGCUUUUCUAAUAAUGGAGUGGUGGUAUCUUGAAUUAUUCAUUCACCUUUGGGUGGUCUUCACAUGCUAUUGUGUGGAAGAUACCAAUUCCCCAAGACAAUGGGCUCACUCAGAGACUCCCUCCAUUGAGUUUCACAAGUAAAGCAAAUUAAAGAGACCAAGUAGUUUGAUUGCCUGGGGCUGGGAAGCUGGUCUCUGUGGGAAC
This 371-nucleotide long non-coding RNA is filed under the name Bos taurus (domestic cattle). Its description in RNAcentral is "long non-coding RNA NONBTAT016176". The record is from RNAcentral. Lineage: Eukaryota; Metazoa; Chordata; Mammalia; Artiodactyla; Bovidae.